This 921-nucleotide long non-coding RNA is filed under the name Parus major (Great Tit). Its description in RNAcentral is "lncRNA (ENSPMJG00000016682.1)". Lineage: Eukaryota; Metazoa; Chordata; Aves; Passeriformes; Paridae. The record is from RNAcentral.
UUCAGGCACCGAAAGAAAAUAUUUUCUUCUUUUCACUUUUUUCUUUCUUAAGGAAAAAAUAAAUCAUGGCUUUUUCACAGGAAGAUAGCUUGGGGAAGCUGGAUCAUCAAACAGUGCAGAGCAAAUGAGCAGAGCAAAAAAGAAUCUGUGAGGACUGGAAAUGCCUGUCCGUGGCAGAGAGAUGGAGCAGGUCUCUGUGAAAAAGCAAGAUAGAGAUUAGGUGGAAUAUUCCCUGUAUCUGUGACUUGCACAGCAUGGGAGAAGCUGGGUCAUGAGAGGAAAAAAGAGCUCUUUGUUAAUGUUUGUGUGAAGUUGUGCUUGUGGCUAAAUUUGCUUCCCUCUUGCCUGCCUCUGACUCUGCCUGCAUCUCCAACAUGGAGCUAUUUCCCAGCCUAAACUACUGCUGCAGGGCGUGCAUUUUUUGAGGCAAUGAAAUCACAUCUUUGUCCAAGAAGAAGAACCAAAUAAGAACCAAAAAGAGAAGUUAUAUAUGAAGCAUAAAAUGAACUAACGAGAAGUUGAAAACUGAGCAUCCAGUAUUUAAAAUAAUCUCCUGAGCAGUUUUAUUUAACAUAUUCUUCAUACUGGAAGCGAUUACUUUCUUCUUGUUUGUGGUCACAACCUUGUCAGUCUGGAUGAAGACAAAAUAUUGCACCAGGACAGAUCAUAGCUCAAGAGCUCCAACUAGAACAUCAACCCCAAGGCCUGCCUGAUGCAGUGUUUGUACAACACUUAUCAUGAAGAGUCCAUUGAGCUGGGCAAAAUCAGCAGAAGUUAUUGCCAAGGACAGACUUGGUAAUCAGAUCUUGAAAAAGAAAAAAAACCCUAAAAGUUUGUGCCUAUGCUGGAGUAAUUCCAGUUACAGUAGGAUAAACUUGGCUGGCUAAAAGAAGUAGUUACAGCACUGCCAGCACAUCCAGA